RNAcentral lists this ribosomal RNA (331 nucleotides) under Bothrophthalmus lineatus (red-black striped snake). RNAcentral's name for it is "partial 12S ribosomal RNA". The record is from RNAcentral. Lineage: Eukaryota; Metazoa; Chordata; Lepidosauria; Squamata; Lamprophiidae.
UAAGAACUUAAAACUUAAAAGACUUGACGGUACUUCACACCAACCUAGAGGAGCCUGUCUAAUAACCGAUAACCCACGAUUCAACCCAACCUUUUCUAGCCUAACAGUCUAUAUACCGCCGUCGCCAGCUUACCUUGUGAAAGAAACUAAGUGAGCCAAAUAGUAUAAUACUAAUACGACAGGUCGAGGUGUAACUAAUGAAAAGGAUUAAGAUGGGCUACAUUUUCUAAUCUAGAAAAAACGAACAGACUAUGAAAACAGAAACUAAAGGCGGAUUUAGCAGUAAGUCAGGAAUAAAAUACCAAACUGAAAUAAACGCAAUGAAGUGCGC